AGUAGAGCAUUAUACGGCGAAACUGCGAAUGGCUCAUUAUAUAAGUUAUCGUUUAUUUGAUAGUACCUUACUACUUGGAUAACCGUGGUAAUUCUAGAGCUAAUACAUGCUAAAAAUCCCGACUUCGGAAGGGAUGUAUUUAUUAGAUUAAAAACCAAUGCCCUUCGGGGCUCCUUGGUGAUUCAUGAUAACUUCGCGAAUCGCAUGGCCUUGCGCCGGCGAUGGUUCAUUCAAAUUUCUUCCCUAUCAACUUUCGAUGUUUGGGUAUUGGCCAAACAUGGUUGCAACGGGUAACGGAGGGUUAGGGCUCGACCCCGGAGAAGGAGCCUGAGAAACGGCUACUACAUCCAAGGAAGGCAGCAGGCGCGCAAAUUACCCAAUCCCGACACGGGGAGGUAGUGACAAUAAAUACUGAUACAGGGCUCUUUAGGGUCUUGUAAUUGGAAUGAGUACAAUUUAAAUCCCUUAACGAGGAACAAUUGGAGGGCAAGUCUGGUGCCAGCAGCCGCGGUAAUUCCAGCUCCAAUAGCGUAUAUUAAAGUUGUUGUGGUUAAAAAGCUCGUAGUUGAACCUUGGGCCUGGCUGGCCGGUCCGCCUCACCGCGUGCACUGGUCCGGCCGGGCCUUUCCCUCUGUGGAACCCCAUGCCCUUCACUGGGCGUGGCGGGGAAACAGGACUUUUACUUUGAAAAAAUUAGAGUGCUCCAGGCAGGCCUAUGCUCGAAUACAUUAGCAUGGAAUAAUAAAAUAGGACGUGCGGUUCUAUUUUGUUGGUUUCUAGGACCGCCGUAAUGAUUAAUAGGGACAGUCGGGGGCAUCAGUAUUCAAUUGUCAGAGGUGAAAUUCUUGGAUUUAUUGAAGACUAACUACUGCGAAAGCAUUUGCCAAGGAUGUUUUCAUUAAUCAGGAACGAAAGUUAAGGGGAUCGAAGACGAUCAGAUACCGUCGUAGUCUUAACCGUAAACGAUGCCGACUAGG
This 977-nucleotide ribosomal RNA is filed under the name Acremonium sclerotigenum. RNAcentral's name for it is "SSU rRNA". It matches the Rfam family "Eukaryotic small subunit ribosomal RNA", at positions 62 to 1050 of the family's 1831-position model. The record is from RNAcentral. Lineage: Eukaryota; Fungi; Ascomycota; Sordariomycetes; Hypocreales; Bionectriaceae.